UACAGAGGGUGCGAGCGUUAAUCGGAAUUACUGGGCGUAAAGGGCGCGUAGGCGGCUAUAUAAGUGAGGUGUGAAAGGCUUGGGCUUAACCUGGGCACUGCACUUUAGACUGUAUGGCUAGAGUAGAGUAGAGGAAAGCGGAAUUUCCGGUGUAGCGGUGAAAUGCGUAGAUAUCGGAAAGAACAUCAGUGGCGAAGGCGGCUUUCUGGACUUAUACUGACGCUGAGGCGCGAAAGCAUGGGUAGCAAACAGG
RNAcentral lists this ribosomal RNA (253 nucleotides) under uncultured bacterium. RNAcentral's name for it is "partial 16S ribosomal RNA". It matches the Rfam family "Bacterial small subunit ribosomal RNA", at positions 524 to 776 of the family's 1533-position model. The record is from RNAcentral.